AUUGAACGCUGGCGGCAGGCCUAACACAUGCCAGUCGAGCGGAUGAAGGGAGCUUGCUCCUGGAUUCAGCGGCGGACGGGUGAGUAAUGCCUAGGAAUCUGCCUGGUAGUGGGGGAUAACGUCCGGAAACGGGCGCUAAUACCGCAUACGUCCUGAGGGAGAAAGUGGGGGAUCUUCGGACCUCACGCUAUCAGAUGAGCCUAGGUCGGAUUAGCUAGUUGGUGGGUAAAGGCCUACCAAGGCGACGAUCCGUAACUGGUCUGAGAGGAUGAUCAGUCACACUAGAACUGAGACACGGUCCAGACUCCUACGGGAGGCAGCAGUGGGGAAUAUUGGACAAUGGGCGAAAGCCUGAUCCAGCCAUGCCGCGUGUGUGAAGAAGGUCUUCGGAUUGUAAAGCACUUUAAGUUGGGAGGAAGGGCAGUAAGUUAAUACCUUGCUGUUUUGACGUUACCAACAGAAUAAGCACCGGCUAACUUCGUG
RNAcentral lists this ribosomal RNA (483 nucleotides) under uncultured bacterium. Its description in RNAcentral is "partial 16S ribosomal RNA". It matches the Rfam family "Bacterial small subunit ribosomal RNA", at positions 30 to 507 of the family's 1533-position model. The record is from RNAcentral.